CAUUAAUACAAGAUGAAAUUGCCAAAAUAGGCUAAAAAUUUGAGUCACGCGCUCAGAUAUUGUCUGAUGCUUAAUACUUGACCUAUAAAAGAAAAAUUAUUUUAUUUAUACUACACAGUAAAAACUGAACAAAAAUACCCCCACGGGCCUGGCGGGGACCACGCAAAAAUGUCGUGCAGCCGCGUAGGGAUCCUUGGUCUUCAUAUAUUGCUUCGAAAAUUGGGGGCGGGGACCGCGCACAAAGGUCGCGCGACCGGGUUGGCUGAGAGGCGCGGACCGCGUAGAAAUGGGACGCAAACGCUUGGAAAACUUCACAAAACUCCACACUCUCUGAACUUCAUUCAUGCGGACCGCACUGGUUUGGUGUGCAGCCACGUUGGCUUUGUUACACCCCUUUUUUAUAAAACCAACUCUUACUUAAAUCCUCUUAAAUAAAUAAAAAGAUCUUAAUAAAAUCUUGCAAAGUAUUUUCAAUUUUGAAAGUGACAAAAUGGGAUUCAAAAGGAAAAAAUCUUCAGAGUCGACAUUUGGAUUUCGGUGUGUCAGGUAAUCGUUUUUCUAGGAAUAAUAAUUUUCCUUUCAAAACAAUUUGAACUCUAAAACUAAGUAUACACCAGAGAUAUGGAUAAGGGGGUUCAUUUGACUCUGGGAGAAGGUGUUAGGCACUCCUCAAAUCCCGUGAAUGUCACGAUUGCGUAGUCGAUCUGGAUUUCAAGAUAUUCAAAUUGAGGUAACAACACGCUAAAAGAAAACAAACAAUCAAAAAGGCUCGAGGUCGUCCCCACCUAAAUGAAAGAAAACGAGAAGGAAAAGGAAAAGAAAAAUCCUAAGCUAACCUAUACUACGACUUCUCCGCCGUGUUCGUCAAGGCCUCCAAAAUAUUUACAUAGCUCUUCGGGGCAUACCCCAGAUAAUAAUAUUUACAAACUUCAUUGGGCAUUCCCCGGAUAAAUUCAACUAAGGGACAACCUCUUGCCUUUAAACUAACAAAAAUUCUAAGGCUUACCUACCCAGGUGUUCGGCCUAAAGCAUCCUCCUAGCGGAUAAUGUAAUAAAAGAACAAGAAAAAGAGCUGGGAGAGAUGAGUUAACAGUACGCAAUCUUUCAUUAAAAUUCCUAAUUUACUACUUUAUCCCACUACCCCCCACAAAACACACAUCAAAAUGACCCACUCCAGUUAUCUACACACACAAAGUAGGGAUUAACGUAGAAGGCAUAUAGGAGAGGAGGAAAAAUGUAGCAUUUGAUAAAACAGAAAUACCAUCCAAGUCCAGAAAUGACAAAUCAAAACAUAAUAAGAGCUAUUUAAAGUCUAUCUAACCAUUCCCAUUAAACUUAUUCUUAAUCCCAUACCAGUAAAAUAUUGAAACUCACUUCGAAUCCCAAGUAUGAUCUCAAGAUUAGCCGUAAGGACGUAUGCUCAAAUAAGGAACCUACACAUUCCAAAUAACUCGAAGGACUUCUAAGGAUUGCUAGGCUGCUAUGUCACCUUCUCGACAUACUGUAAAAGUCCCUGAAAUCUCCUACUCGACCCCUUCCCUUACGAAAAUCCACAGAGAUAUCAUAUGAAAGGACCGUAGUAUCUCAAAUAGUUUCAAAUCUUCAUGAAGGAAUAAGUCUGAUUGCAUGAAUGGACGACAAGAAUUUAACAGUUAGAAUAUUCACAAACCACACCCAUGCAUAGGAAACUGAAUUCGAACGGAAGUAAGCAGAUUCAACUAUGUAUUGAACGUUUUAGAACAUUUAGCUUCCUAUUCACAUGUUGCAAAACCAUGAGAUUAAAGCAACUAGUGUUUAUGUCGGGUACAAAAAUAAAAUUUACUCUCAAAGUUCAUCAUCUAAGAUUUCGUUCAAAAGGUCUUAUUUCAAUCACCUCACUCUGUCUAACCAAAUUGGCCAUGAGAAUGUAAUUUUUUUAGUACCUAACUUAGUUACCAGAUUAUCCUAAGUAAUGGCUUGUUAAUGUUAUUAAGCUGAUGAUUCAAUAUCAAAUAAAAAGUCCCAAAACAACAAAAAUAAUUAUCAGAAGUUUGGAUAAUGAAGAGUAUGACUAAGCCUCAAUGCACCAAGGACCCAAUUCAAGACUCUCGACAUGGGCAACACUGUGAAGAAGUUCCUUCAAAUAGUUACCCUCCUUCUCCAAGUCGUGAUUCCCAAAUUCAUCAGAGCGCAUAUUCAAACACGAUCCAUUUCAAAACUAAUCGUCAAGAAUAUAUGAACUAGUGAACAACCCACAGAUCAUGAAUAUAACAUUUAUGGCUCUUAUCAUAUUUUCAUUCACAAGAAACAGAUUAAAAGAGCUAGAAACGAACCUGAACAAACGCUAACUUUAAUUAAAUCUCGAAAUGAGUACAAGCAGAAGUCGAGCGAUGAACUUAACAGGGAUGGAACAGAACGAAUCCGGAACCACGAACUCUAACCAAAGACGGAAAAUAGAACUUCAAACGAGCACCACCUCGAUCAAACUCCAAUGUUGAAUCCCAAAUCCAAUUUUUUCUGAUUUUCGAACUGAUACGGAAUCUCCAACAAAAUGAAACUCAAGUUUGUUUUUGUAUUUUUUUCCUUUCGAAUUUUUGAAGCAGCGAGGAAAACGAAAACACUAAUGAUUUUUUUUCUGUUUUUAUUUUUCGUCGUGUAUCUGGAAACAAGAAAAUGAAGAUGGAAAAAUCUGAUGAAAACCUCAAGAACCCUAGUUUUUUUUUUCGAAAAAUCCAAUCCCUAACUUCUGUCUCCAAAAACCUCUCAAAUAUAUAUUACACCCUAGAAGCUUCUUCCCUCUUCUCCAAGAGAUUCCUGAACCGUGUGGACCCCAACAAUAAAAAAUCUGAAAAUCAUUUUCACAAAUAAAAAAAUCAGAAAAAUAGAGAUUUAUGGAUGAAAAUUCCAUCCAACGAUUCCUAUUCUUCCAAAGUUAUAUUCAAGGGUUCAAAUUGUGCCUCAUCCAAAACAAAAUAAAUGAAAACGUGUAGAAAUGAUGAACUUUGUAUGAAGUGAGUGACGUGCAGGAAGGAGAAGGGAAAUAGCGGACCAUCGGUGACCAAAUGGGUGAGCUCGGGUAAGGUUUGGGUUGGGUUUGGUGGCAGAAGGUGUGGGAGAGAAGAGGGGUGGCGGCUGGUCUUGUUUGGGGAUUUAGGGUUAGGGUUUUGGGAAAUAAGGUUUUUAUAUGGGGUAUUUAAGAAAUAUGGACCAUUGGAUCAAAGUUAAUAGAUGGCUAGGAUUUGAGGGAAAGAUUGGGGCGGGUCAGCAGGUGGG
Molecule: long non-coding RNA, 3252 nt
Filed under: Nicotiana benthamiana
Lineage: Eukaryota; Viridiplantae; Streptophyta; Magnoliopsida; Solanales; Solanaceae
Description: long non-coding RNA (NBEN_LNC027301)
Source: RNAcentral